Non-coding RNA from Betta splendens (Siamese fighting fish), 415 nucleotides. The record is from the annotation of a RefSeq genome assembly. Lineage: Eukaryota; Metazoa; Chordata; Actinopteri; Anabantiformes; Osphronemidae.
UCAGAGUCACAUCUCCAGCCUCAGGAUGAAGAACACACUCACUCUGCUGCUGGCUGCUCUCUCUCUGACCUGUUGUUCAGGUCAGAGCAUGGAGUCCAUUCCUUCCACUGCAGUAGUGAAGAAGCCUGGAGAGACCCUCAGUCUGUCCUGCAGAGGAUCUGGGUUCACAUUUAACUGCUGUUUUAUGCACUGGAUCAGACAACCUGCAGGAAAAGGACUGGAAUGGAUGGGGAGAGGUGGCUCUGAUACUAAUGAUAACGUCUAUGCCAACAAUUUGAGAGGACGGAUAGAAAUCAGCAGAGAUGACAGCAACAGCUUGGUGCAUCUGAAACUGUCCAACCUGCAGCCUGAAGACUCUGCUGUUUAUUACUGUGCUAAAGACUCACAGUGACACAAAGCAUCAGUGGAGCUGAAC